GAUGGUUCAUUCAAAUUUCUUGCCCUAUCAACUUUCGAUGGUAGGAUAGUGGCCUACCAUGGUUUUAACGGGUAACGGGGAAUAAGGGUUCGAUUCCGGAGAGGGAGCCUGAGAAACGGCUACCACAUCCAAGGAAGGCAGCAGGCGCGCAAAUUACCCAAUCCCAAUUCGGGGAGGUAGUGACAAUAAAUAACAAUAUAGGGCUCUUUUGGGUCUUAUAAUUGGAAUGAGUACAAUUUAAAUCACUUAACGAGGAACAAUUGGAGGGCAAGUCUGGUGCCAGCAGCCGCGGUAAUUCCAGCUCCAAUAGCGUAUAUUAAAGUUGUUGCAGUUAAAAAGCUCGUAGUUGAACUUUGGGUCUGGCUGAUCUGUCCUCCUAAUCGAGCGCACGGAUUCGGUCGGACCUUUCCUUCUGGGGAACCCUAUGCCCUUCACUGGGCGUAGUGGGGAACCAGGACUUUUACCUUGAAAAAUUAGAGUGUUCAAAGCAGGCCUUUGCUCGAAUACAUUAGCAUGGAAUAAUAGAA
This 527-nucleotide ribosomal RNA is filed under the name uncultured fungus. Its description in RNAcentral is "SSU rRNA". It matches the Rfam family "Eukaryotic small subunit ribosomal RNA", at positions 289 to 822 of the family's 1831-position model. The record is from RNAcentral. Lineage: Eukaryota; Fungi.